UUCCAAACCAAGAACCACACUCAGCCUUUUCUCUCUCAACCGUAAGUAACACAAGAUUGACACCUAAACGUAACAUGUACCCACUUCUUCUCAUCCGCCUAUUUCCCCCACAAAGAAAUAGCCAAGAGUUGAAUCACCAUACAAACCUCCAGCCUCCCUUUUCACUGGCUGGCCGAAUGCAGCCAUCAAGGAAAAUUGCACAUGAGCUAUUACUCCACCUCACUCUCUUGCUCGGCCGAAGGUUGAUCUUAAGGAGGUGAAGAAAAUUUUGUUGCCUCCUUGCUCUUUAUCACUGAACUGGUUCUGAUUGAGUGGUCAGUCUACGGCAUGCACAUAUCUUCCUUAAUUGAGCUCCUACCCUUUUGCGUACCGCUUCAACAAGAUUGGGGACAUGCAAGCCCAAAACCUCUAAGGACACCGUCUCUCCUUCCUUUCUUUAGUUGGCUGAACCGUUAGCAUCAAGGGAAUGAGAUGCGUUCCCUGACUUCGUGCUUCUUCUCGGUCCUUCACGGUGUUGAUGGAGCCUCCCCAUCUUGGGUGUUUUCUGAGUUCGGUGAUGAGAGUUGGAGUGAGUUGUUCUUCAUUUGGUUUUUCUGUUUGAUUCCAUGGAUAAUUAGGAUGUGAGGGAGCUGCCUCCUCUUGGAUGGUACUCGUUGGCAGGUUUUAGAACAGAUUGGGCACACAUCAGAGGUCCAUAAAACUCAAGGAUGUUGGACGAACUUGGGGGCUGUUUUGAUUAGAAAGCUAAAGUAUCAGGUCUAAUAUUGUUGCUGUAUUGGUUUUAUUGCCACACUACUGGGAUUUUUCUCACCCCUUCGGGGGCUCAAUUUUCAUAAAUUGCAGGAGGACUUAGAAGCAUGUGAAGAAGUAUUUGAUGACGUGAUUUCAUGGAAAUGAUUUGAUUGAGUUUUAAUGUUUGGGAUAUCCUACUGUUUAAUUGAUGUUUCUGUUGGAAGUAUAAUGUAUAUUCAGCUUUGGUGUAGCCUUCUAAGGAUGGUAUUUUAUUAUGUG
Long non-coding RNA from Gastrolobium bilobum, 1011 nucleotides. RefSeq lists it as uncharacterized. The transcript has 3 exons. The record is from RefSeq and is a predicted model, not a curated record. Lineage: Eukaryota; Viridiplantae; Streptophyta; Magnoliopsida; Fabales; Fabaceae.